CAUCAGUGAUUGGAAACUAUUGCUGUCUUAGUCCUUGGCAUCGAUAUCUUACUUAUCCCACACCGUUAGCUCUUUGAGCGCCCAGUCUUGGUUUAACUUACAGCUCACCCCAAGCCUCCAACUUACAGCACCUUGGACAUAUGAGUCCUAACUCUCAAAUGAUUAAGUGACUAGAAUCUUGUAAUCAAGACAGAUUCCCAAAUGACAAGAAACAGAGAACUCCUCCUCACGUUCUUCAUCCACAGGACUUGACUUUACAGGCCAUACAAACCUCUAAUUCAGAAGCAACCACUGUCUAAACCAAAAGAAUUUUCUUAUUCAUCUCACUCCCAGGAACUGAAAUUAUCUUCGAUUCCUUCCUGUUAUGUAACCUCCUGAUAUCUAACCAAUAUUUAAGCCCUAUCUCAGCAACUUUCUAGUUUUUCCUGUUUGAUCCAUAGUCUCUCCAUGAUCACCUCCAUCCUGUGUGUCCUUCAAAUCUCUUUAUAAUGUCAACUCUCCUUGGUUUCAGAUUUAGAGCAUUAUCAAUAUUUCACUUGUAACUACUGGAAAAAAUGCUGGUCAACCCUGAACUUAAUUAUUAUAUAGAAAUAAUUGACACAGUAAGCUCUAACAGUAGAAAACAAUUUAUUUACUAAAAACUUCAAGUAACAGGGGGCGGCCCAGUAGUGCAGCAGUGAAGUUUGCGCUCCACUUCAGCUGCCCGGGGUUCGCCAGUUCAGAUCCUGGGCACAGACCUACACACCACUUAUCAAGCCAUGCUGUGGCAGGUGUCCCACAUAUAAAAUAGAGGGAGACGGGCAUAGAUAUUAAGUCAGGGCCAAUCUUCCACACACAAAAAAUAAAAUAAAAAUAUAAGUAAAUUUUUUUUAAAACUUCAAGUAAUAAUUUUCAAAAAAAGGUGAGGUAGAAGCAACAAUUUUAGCAUAUUUAACAUUCAUUAAAAAAAAAAAAACUCUGAGAGAAAUGAGAUUUCCUCCCAGAAGAUGGAUACACUGAGGUUAAAAUCAGUCACCAUAUACAUCAUUAAGCACUUUGAGGUAAUUUUGUUUUACAAGACAUCCUUACAUAAAAACGGAAAAGUGAGUAAUGCCCCUCAAAACAAAGGGACAUAUGAAAGUGAAAAGGUGAAAAUAGGGAUAUAUCUUUUAAAUUUGUCAAUUCAGCAAACAAAAUUUCUUCUCAAAAAAAGAGUAAGAAUUAUUUUCUUUUAUAUCAAAUUUACUCUAGAAUAUUGAAAACGGAAAGUAACAAGUGGGAAGUUAAGGGGAAUCAUAAAUUAAUUGGAAAUAAUCAAUUUAUAAGUAAUAAUUUAAAUGACUAGGUUCAAAGUGAAAACAUAGCUGAAUAGCUGAUAUCAGAAAGCAAAAGUCAAAGGAAAAAAACAGCAAAAUGGCCUUUGGAUCAGGGACCUCAAAAUACAGAAAAGAAUCACACCUUUGUUCUCAUCACAAGAAUGUGCUUAAAUGAUAAAAAUAAAUCAAUUUUCUUUACCUAAUAUUUCAAAUAAAAUGUGAUAAAAGUCUACAAAAUCAAAUUAGUCUUGAAAUUUUACACUUAGAAGUUUAAACCUCAGAUCCAAAAGUUAAUCCAUCUUUAAAGCUGGUAAAAUUUAUCAAACUCUUUCUAGGUCACACAAAAACAUUUAUAGUAACUAUAAAUUUAGACUUUUCACAGUUUGGGGUAUACCUGUA
Molecule: long non-coding RNA, 1694 nt
Organism: Equus asinus (donkey)
Lineage: Eukaryota; Metazoa; Chordata; Mammalia; Perissodactyla; Equidae
Source: Ensembl